RNAcentral lists this ribosomal RNA (497 nucleotides) under uncultured bacterium. RNAcentral describes it as "partial 16S ribosomal RNA". It matches the Rfam family "Bacterial small subunit ribosomal RNA", at positions 28 to 507 of the family's 1533-position model. The record is from RNAcentral.
GAUGAACGCUGGCGGCGUGCCUAAUACAUGCAAGUCGAGCGAACGGACGAGAAGCUUGCUUUUCUGAUGUUAGCGGCGGACGGGUGAGUAACACGUGGAUAACCUACCUAUAAGACUGGGAUAACUUCGGGAAACCGGAGCUAAUACCGGAUAAUAUUUUGAACCGCAUGGUUCAAAAGUGAAAGACGGUCUUGCUGUCACUUAUAGAUGGAUCCUGGCUGCAUUAGCUAGUUGGUAAGGUAACGGCUUACCAAGGCAACGAUGCAUAGCCGACCUGAGAGGAUGAUCAGCCACACUGGAACUGAGACACGGUCCAGACUCCUACGGGAGGCAGCAGUAGGGAAUCUUCCGCAAUGGGCGAAAGCCUGACGGAGCAACGCCGCGUGAGUGAUGAAGGUCUUCGGAUCGUAAAACUCUGUUAGUAGGGAAGAACAUAUGUGUAAGUAAAUGUGCACAUCUUGACGGUACCAAAUCAGAAAGCAACGGCUAACUACGUG